UCUGGUAAUGAUGGCAGAGAGGUCACACCCGUUCCCAUACCGAACACGGAAGUUAAGCUCUCUAGCGCCGAUGGUAGUUGGGACCUUGUCCCUGUGAGAGUAGG
RNAcentral lists this ribosomal RNA (104 nucleotides) under Bacillus anthracis (anthrax bacterium). The record is from RNAcentral. Lineage: Bacteria; Bacillati; Bacillota; Bacilli; Caryophanales; Bacillaceae. RNAcentral also lists the same sequence under 14 other names.